GUGAACUCAAUCUUUAGUUACCACUUUAAAAAAGAGUAGCUCUGAAAUCACACAUUCAAAGAAUCUGAGGUAUUUUUCAUGGGCUAAAAAGUAACAAGAGUAUUUAUGAUCUGUCAACUUUGAGAUAGUAUUCAAGUCAGUUGGGCAGUUUAACUUAUUUUCCCUCCUUAAUUCUUCCAACUGUCUUCUUUCAUCUAUUUCUCCCUUCAUUCUGCCUCCCUAAGUGAACUUGCUCAGCUUUGCCAGGUUUUGCGACCCUGACAGGUGUCUGGGAGCGCUUCCCUCCCAGGCUGCUGGGUUGGAGGGCGGCCUCAGCAGGAACCCAGGAGGACAGCUGGUAUCCGAGACUCCCCGGCGGGGCCGGCCCUGCCACCAGCCUCAUCUGCAGAAGGCAGGCCUCUGGAGCUUGCUCUUGGGCAUCAGCUGUCUCCGACAACCUCUCCAGGAGCUUGCAGGAUGUCGGAGACCCCAAGGCUUGACUUCGCUCGUGUCCAAGCCCACCUCUGGGGGUGCCCCGGUCCCACUCUCCCCUGAUUUCCUGAUGAAGAAACUAAAGACCAAAGAAUUGGAGCAGUUUGCUAGAGAUCCCACAGCUGGUUUACAGCACAAACAUCAUGCUAUUUUCCUUUCUACAGAUGUUCCACAUUUCUGGAUUUUAAGGACCAGAAAAUUUUUUUAAAAAUGGGAAGGGGGGGAGGAAGAAUAUAACAUAGCAUUGCCAACUUUUGGUUUUAACAAGUAAAGACAUUAAGAAGCCAUAACCACUAUCUGAUGUCAGCACUUCUCAUAAAAGAAAGGACAUUUAUGUGUAUUUUAACGUCCUUUGAGUAGCCUGAUUUUAGUUCUGUGCACUACUCUAUAUUCCCCUGCCUUCCGUUAUUUGAAGGCAGGCUGGGAUAAACUUUGCCAAAGAUCACUCUUUGUCCUCAAGCUGAUAUUUGACCACUCCUGAGCUUUUAUUUCAGUAAGAAGGUGCAGCAUAACAUUCCCAUCGUCUCUUCUUUGAGGGUGGGAGUGAGCCCUGCUUUCUGAUGAUUUGAACAGCAGGUGUAAAUUCUACUGCUUGUAAGCUGAGCUCCCAGGAUGGGCUGUAGCCAGUGCUCUGAGAGCCACAGGAAGUGGCAUUGUCUACCCAGCCUGUGUUCCUGGCUACCUGCUGGGGCCAUGAGAGUGACUGAUAAGAAUCUGUGGGAUGGCUUUCCAUUCCAUUUUCACUUGGAUUCCAAACAUGUAUGAUGGAGCAAAGGGUUUAUGCAAACAUUAAAUGUCUCCACUAAUUGUCUAACCUUCCAUGUUUAGGGCUCUGCAAGAAAUCCAGGCUCUAGUUUCAUGUGAGCUGAACUCAGCUGACCACAACUAGAUGAAGAUAAGUAAGUGACUUUGCCUGGAUUCCUCCAUGAUCCACAGCGAUGAUCUUUGGCCUUCCACAAUAAUGAAAUUAUAAACAUAUUAGAUCAGAAUGGGUGAAUGUGAUGGUAUCGUGUGUCUGCUAUUAUAGGUCAGAAUGUGAGAAAAUGCCUCCUCCAAGCUGUUCCAUUUACUCCCAAGACUCAGCAGAAAUGGGACCCACUAGGUUAAGAUGUCUAGCACACAAUUAGGAUGACCAAGAGGCUUGGUCACUUCAGGUGACUUGUUGACCGCUGGGUGAUGAAAAGUUUUGUGCCUCCUCUACCCUAACUUCCCAUCUCUGGAUUGGCUUUGGAAGCCCUGGGGCCGGUCUGGUCUUUCUGGGGCUGCAGAGUCUGCUGUGCCUUGGAGUGAUAAUGAGAGUUCUAUCAGAGUUGAGGGCGCAGUUAGACCAAGCUAGUAAGUAUUUCCUGAGCACCUACUGUCUGCAAGGCUGUAUGUAAGUGCCUGACACUUAUCAUCCUGUUGCAGGUAAUGGCACAGGAAAAAGUGCUGAGGAAUUUGGAGUCCUUGGAAAUUUGAGUCUUGGGAAAGGGUCAAAUUGUCAACAUAAGAGUAUUGAUUUAUUUAGGACAUACUUUAGUUGGGCCACACUUUCCAUUGUGAUCUUGUUGAACAGCCUUUCGAGGGAAGUGCUAC
Molecule: long non-coding RNA, 2046 nt
Organism: Equus caballus (horse)
Lineage: Eukaryota; Metazoa; Chordata; Mammalia; Perissodactyla; Equidae
Source: Ensembl